UGGGGAAUAUUGCACAAUGGAGGGAACUCUGAUGCAGCGACGCCGCGUGAACGAAGAAGGCUUUCGAGUCGUAAAGUUCUUUUAUAUGGGAAGAUAAUGACGGUACCAGAAGAAAAAGCCCCGGCUAACUACGUGCCAGCAGCCGCGGUAAUACGUAGGGGGCUAGCGUUGUCCGGAAUCACUGGGCGUAAAGGGUUCGCAGGCGGAAAUGCAAGUCAGGUGUAAAAGGCAGUAGCUUAACUACUGUAAGCAUUUGAAACUGCAUAUCUUGAGAAGAGUAGAAGUAAGUGGAAUUUUUAGUGUAGCGGUGAAAUGCGUAGAUAUUAAAAAGAAUACCGGUGGCGAAGGCGACUUACUGGGCUCAUUCUGACGCUGAGGAACGAAAGCGUGGGUAGCAAACAGG
RNAcentral lists this ribosomal RNA (403 nucleotides) under bacterium. Its description in RNAcentral is "partial 16S ribosomal RNA". It matches the Rfam family "Bacterial small subunit ribosomal RNA", at positions 355 to 776 of the family's 1533-position model. The record is from RNAcentral.